Molecule: ribosomal RNA, 400 nt
Filed under: uncultured bacterium
Lineage: Bacteria
Description: bacterial SSU rRNA
Rfam family: Bacterial small subunit ribosomal RNA
Source: RNAcentral
UUUCGAAUUAUUCACAAUGGGCGCAAGCCUGAUGGUGCGACGCCGCGUGAGGGAUGAAGGUCUUCGGAUUGUAAACCUCUGUCACUGGGGAAGAAUGGUUAAAGGUUAAUACCCUUUGAUUUGACUUAACCCGGAGAGGAAGCAGUGGCUAACUCUGUGCCAGCAGCCGCGGUAAUACAGAGACUGCAAGCGUUAUUCGGAUUCACUGGGCGUAAAGGGUGCGCAGGCGGCCAUGUGUGUUAGGCGUGAAAGCCCGGGGCUCAACCCCGGAAUUGCACCUAAAACUACGUGGCUAGAGUACUGGAGAGGGUAGCGGAAUUCACGGUGUAGCAGUGAAAUGCGUAGAUAUCGUGAGGAACACCAAUGGCGAAGGCAGCUACCUGGACAGUAACUGACGCUC